Long non-coding RNA from Eriocheir sinensis (Chinese mitten crab), 1240 nucleotides. RefSeq lists it as uncharacterized. The record is from RefSeq and is a predicted model, not a curated record. NCBI's taxonomy places the organism in Eukaryota, Metazoa, Arthropoda, Malacostraca, Decapoda, Varunidae. The transcript is spliced from 4 exons.
CCAGAAGGCGUUUGAUAAAGUUCCACACUACAAGUUGCUUCAAAAAAUCAAGGAAAUAGGUAUCGGGGGUAAACUUCACGAAUGGAUCAAGCACUGGCUAAGCAAUAGAAAGCAAAGAGUUGUAAUAAAUAAGUGACCCCUGAGUGGAUGCCAGUCACUAGUGGUGUCCCCCAAGGCUCUGUCCUGGGACCCAUUCUCUUCGUCAUUUACAUCAACGACAUUGACCUUGGUCUCAAUAAUUUCAUAUACGUCUUCUCCUAUUAUUCUCGUCUAUUUUACCAUUACAGUACAAACUCACUAUGCACACCUCCUUAUUGUUUGGCAUCUUCAGAAAAUCAUAUGCGUGUUAAUUCAAAGGCCUCGGUAUUUUCUUUCCUUUCCUCAAAACCUGCGCGAAAUGCCUAUUUAUUAUUUAUUGAAAUUAAUAACAUAUUACAGAUAUUCAUAUCUCUUGGUGUAAUGAAAGUAAAAGGUUGACAAAACAUUGUCCGAAAAAAAAUAUUCAGCCAUUUUUUUCAAGAGCAAAAUUUCUCGAUUGAUCACGAUGCUGUGAUCUAGCGACAUACUCAGACGUUUUGUUAAUAAUUAAAUGUUCCCUAGAUGACCUGGUGCACUGCACGCGGCUGGUUGGUGCGCAGUGGGCUGUAAUACAUGUCGACCUUCUAUCCACUGCGGAGGCUGCCUUCUCACUGCUGCCCCCUGACACUCUCAAGAAGAUUUGGGUGAUCGGUGGCGCCGCUGGAACGUCAACCAUCGACGACUUGGCGGCCCACGAUCCUUUGCCACCCGUGACCCAGAAUGAUGACGUGGACCCGGCCUCGACUGUGUGUCAAAUCCCUUUCUCCUCCGGUACAACUGGCCUACGCAAGGGAGUGAUGACCUCGCACCGCAGUGAAGUCUCCAGAAUGAUGAUGAUCAAGCACUUGGCGAACCACAAGCAGUGGCUCGGUCAGCCCGAAGACUACUCCACUUGUAUGCUGGUGACUUCCCUGAGCCACACUUACGCACACGUGUUUCUCUUCGCUACUUUAAUGCUUGGCGGGACAUCUGUCAUUGCGCGUCAUUCAGACAAUCUGUUGGAAAUGAUAAAUGAACAUAAUGUGACGCUUGCUGUCUUGCAUCCAUGUCACCUUAAAAUGAUGAUAAACUCAGCCGCGUCGCAUGACAACAAACCUACAUCUCUGAAGACCGUCACCACAGCCGCGGCCCACCUUGCUGCUUCCGUUGCUGAAGCCUUCAG